GUAGGGAAUAUUGCACAAUGGAGGAAACUCUGAUGCAGCGACGCCGCGUGAGUGAUGAAGGCCUUCGGGUCGUAAAACUCUGUGAUAAGGGAAGAUGAUGACGGUACCUUAUCAGAAAAGACCGGCUAACUUCGUGCCAGCAGCCGCGGUAAUACGAGGGGUCUAAGCGUUGUUCGGAAUCACUGGGCGUAAAGCGGGUGUAGGUGGCUAUGCAAGUUGGAUGUGAAAGCCCCGGGCUCAACCCGGGAAGUGCAUCCAAAACUACGUAGCUUGAGUGCGGGAGAGAAAGGCAGAAUUCCUGGUGUAGUGGUGAAAUACGUAGAUAUCAGGAGGAACUCCGGUGGCGAAGGCGGCCUUUUGGCCCAGCACUGACACUCAGACCCGAAAGCGUGGGUAGCAAACAGGAUUAGAAACCCGAGUAGUCC
Molecule: ribosomal RNA, 425 nt
Filed under: uncultured bacterium
Lineage: Bacteria
Description: partial 16S ribosomal RNA
Rfam family: Bacterial small subunit ribosomal RNA
Source: RNAcentral